Molecule: long non-coding RNA, 292 nt
Organism: Manduca sexta (tobacco hornworm)
Lineage: Eukaryota; Metazoa; Arthropoda; Insecta; Lepidoptera; Sphingidae
Exons: 2
Source: RefSeq, a predicted model, not a curated record
GGUAUUGAUACGCCAUGUAAAUUCGAUUUUAUUUCUUUGUAUUAAGUCCUGUCUCUUAAAACGUAGUGAUUAUAUUCUCUUUGGUCCGUCAUAGCGUCGUGUUGUGACGUUGACAAGUGGAUACUUUUAUAUAUAAUUUUCAUCAGUGAAAAUAAGUUUGUUAUUCAAAUAAAUUAUUUUUAAUAAAGUAUAUUUAAUAAUCUUUCAAGCCAAUAUGAGUCUAGUAGCAAAUACCGGUAAAUUAGCUGGUAGGACGCUGUUUAUAACUGGCGCUUCUCGUGGUAUUGGAAAA